RNAcentral lists this long non-coding RNA (321 nucleotides) under Daucus carota (carrot). RNAcentral describes it as "long non-coding RNA (DCAR_LNC001191)". Lineage: Eukaryota; Viridiplantae; Streptophyta; Magnoliopsida; Apiales; Apiaceae. The record is from RNAcentral.
UCCAUCCUUCCAAUUGAAUAGUCAAAGAAUCAACAAUUUGCUUGACAAUAUCCAAUGUAAAAGUGAAUUGCGAUGAUUCAUCCUCCAAAACAGCAACCCCAUCAUGCUUCUCCCUUAUUUUCCGAGCUCUUGCUAAGGCACUGAUAUCAAAUGUAUCAUUACUAUGAACAUUAUAAGUUUGAAAGUGUUCGUCCUCCAAUUUCCUUGCAAGAAAAUUCUGAGAUGGGAUUUUAGAACCCUCUUGAGAAAGAGAAGGAACUAAAGAUAGAGCAUGGCAAAUAUCUUCAGAAUUUGAACUUUAAGAGACUAGAGUUUCAUUAC